UGGGGAAUAUUGGACAAUGGGCGAAAGCCUGAUCCAGCCAUGCCGCGUGUGUGAAGCAGGUCUUCGGAUUGUAAAGCACUUUAAGUUGGGAGGAAGGGCAUUAACCUAAUACGUUAGUGUUUUGACGUUACCGACAGAAUAAGCACCGGCUAACUCUGUGCCAGCAGCCGCGGUAAUACAGAGGGCGCAAGCGUUAAUCGGCAUUACUGGGCGUAAAGCGCGCGUAGGUGGUUUGUUAAGUUGGAUGUGAAAUCCCCGGGCUCAACCUGGGAACUGCAUUCAAAACUGACUGACUAGAGUAUGGUAGAGGGUGGUGGAAUUUCCUGUGUAGCGGUGAAAUGCGUAGAUAUAGGAAGGAACACCAGUGGCGAAGGCGACCACCUGGACUAAUACUGACACUGAGGUGCGAAAGCGUGGGGAGCAAACA
Molecule: ribosomal RNA, 427 nt
Filed under: uncultured bacterium
Lineage: Bacteria
Description: partial 16S ribosomal RNA
Rfam family: Bacterial small subunit ribosomal RNA
Source: RNAcentral